Long non-coding RNA from Solanum stenotomum, 198 nucleotides. RefSeq lists it as uncharacterized. The transcript has 2 exons. NCBI's taxonomy places the organism in Eukaryota, Viridiplantae, Streptophyta, Magnoliopsida, Solanales, Solanaceae. The record is from RefSeq and is a predicted model, not a curated record.
CUUAUGCUUAAUCGGAUCCUCAUCGAUGCCUUGAAGAUCUAUCACUGGAAAAACAAAGUGUGUUUCACAUGUUUUCGCCCUGUUUUUUGGGGGUAGAAUGAAUAUUUGUGGUACUUUAGUGAUUCCAUAAUCAACAAGACCUUUGACACCAGCCUUAGUAUCAUCAAACGCUUUUAAUUCACUCAUUCUGUCAUGACU